Molecule: transfer RNA, 93 nt
Filed under: Clostridia bacterium
Lineage: Bacteria; Bacillati; Bacillota; Clostridia
Description: tRNA-Ser
Rfam family: tRNA
About the family: Transfer RNA (tRNA) molecules are approximately 80 nucleotides in length. Their secondary structure includes four short double-helical elements and three loops (D, anti-codon, and T loops). Further hydrogen bonds mediate the characteristic L-shaped molecular structure. tRNAs have two regions of fundamental functional importance: the anti-codon, which is responsible for specific mRNA codon recognition, and the 3' end, to which the tRNAs corresponding amino acid is attached (by aminoacyl-tRNA synthetases). tRNAs cope with the degeneracy of the genetic code in two manners: having more than one tRNA (with a specific anti-codon) for a particular amino acid; and 'wobble' base-pairing, i.e. permitting non-standard base-pairing at the 3rd anti-codon position.
Source: RNAcentral
GGAGAGUUAUCGAAGUGGUUAUAACGGCCCGCACUCGAAAUGCGGUGUUCCGAUAAUUCGGGACCGAGGGUUCGAAUCCCUCACUCUCCGCCA